AAUGUAACGCGCUAUCCGUGUCAGCAUAUAGCGCGAUUCUUUUCGUUGUUUCGACCGAUAUCCCGCCUGGCGUGCACGCAAAUACGUAUGUCCAUCACGGGUGUGUGACAAGCGACUUUUGCAAAACGGUCAUUUACGAAAACCGGUACCCGUAAAUACGCGUAUUUUGUCAACCGACCGAUCAGGAUUAUCCAGUUUUUACUAUUAUUACUUAUUUACUCUACGCUUUUUUCUCAUUUCGUUUAUCGCGAGGUUGUUGUACAGUGUGUUGAUGUGUAUCCGUGGGUCGACAGUUUUCGAGGAUCGAUUCCGACACGCUAGAACCAAAAUAUCGAUCGAGCCUUGUUUAUUUAUUUUGCCAGAGUUUACGUUGGAUGAAACGAGAUGGAGAGACAGAGAGACGAUGGUGUGACCGAUAUUUUUCUACGUCGAUUUUAAGAUCGACCUCGUCUAUACGUUACAAAUAACUCUUUUAUUCGGAUUUUGGAAAAAUUCGGUGGAAUUUUAGAAGAACUUUUACGAGAAUGCGUGGGAAGUUGUUUUUGCGAUAAGGAGGAUUAGGAACGAGAAAGAGGAAGAAUUUCUGGAAUUCAUUUGUAACUAUAGAAAAGUGUGCAAUGCAAACGAAACGGGAUAAAAUACGGGCAUUCUGCGGGGAAAGUGGACGAUUCGGCGACACACGUUGAGUAAAGGGCAGACCAACGAAAGAAAAACCGAUCCUGAUCUUCGUUUCGAGAUAAUUCAACGUGUUCGAUUGAACAAAUUGCGGCCACGAUAAAAGAAACGGCGAAAGAAAACUGGUUCCGUUCGCGAUCAUUUAACUAUUUUACCUUUGUUUCUUCUUCUUGCUGAUCGAGUGGAUAAUAUCGAAAGAUGGCCGUCUCGCUUUUAAGAUUUUCUUUGGGUUAGAAUUAAUGAUGAACGGUGUCCGACCAGCUUGAUUAAUUAUUUAUGAUUCGCGAGAUUUUGAACGGAAUUUAAUUUAUGAGUUUCGUCAACUAUUUUGAUAAAUUUUUAACAAUUGAAAAUGUGAUCGUGAUCGGUAUAUUACUAUGAAGAAUAAACUACUGAUUUGAUCGAACAAGUUACAACUCACGAUGGAAGCGAGACAAAUCAAACUGUUGUCAAGAUUACGAAAUCACGCGAUUAUCGAAUACAUUCGAAUACAUUCAAAUGUUGGCAAUCGCACAAGGUGAAUUGCCUCCUUCUUCUUCAUUGUUGGUUCCGUCCUCCAGACGGAAAAAAGUAAGAGGAACCGGAUAAAGAGCAAAGGUGCACGGCGAAAACGAGCAUGUUCGUGCAAAUACGUCGCGACGUGUACGAAUUCGCGAGUACAAGGAACGUCCAUUCCCUGCUCGACCAAAGACAAAAGGGACUUGGGACGAAGGCCACCAAAUAGGUAUGUUUUCAUUUCGAUGCAAAUGGGAAACGUCGAGUGGGAGAGGGGAAAAGAGUAAAGAAGCGGAAGGAAAAAAAAGAAAAAAGAGGAGACCGAUCGACCGGCCUCUCGAUGCGUUUCAAGUCCCUGAAGGGCCGAAAGAACGACGAAAAUCGAAGGGAAUCGAUAUCGAAACAAUCGGUGAUAAUCGAUGCAACGCAAUAACUGGCUGUGCAAUAAUCCUUUUCUAUUUCGGAAUAAUACGCACGUUCGUUCGUUACGAAUGGAAAUUCGUACUCGAAAUAUUCGCGUGUUUAAAAUUUUUGAUAUAAUUGAAAGAUUUAUUUUUAAUAUGCUGUCAAGAGAAUGAAUUUCUGAUAGAGAAAUUAAAUUUGAAUAAUUUUCUAUAAACAAAUAUAAUAAAAAGAGAUCACAGACAUAAAUCUGUGUUUAUAAACAACCAUUAUUUGAUAAUGAUAUUUUUAGAAAUCAGGAAUUUACAGAUGGAAAAGAAUAAUUAUAUUUAAUGAUUUAAUUGAAAAAUUCAUUUUCAAUGGCAAAAAACAAGAAAAAAAACAAGUGAGUUAAACGUUACUCUGAUGAAUCAUUGAUGAAAUAAGACUUCCUAAUUAUUUCAAGCAGUUUAUAAUGAACAAUCGUUCCACUAAAGACAUUCGAGUGGUCAUGAUGCCGUUCGAUUUAUUGUGUUUUACGAUACGUGUUCAUCACGUAUGUUUGAAUGUCAACAAUUUCGGCUUCCUUGGAAAAUAUCAUGUCAAGCUGAAAAUGAAUUUUGUUACGAAACGAGUCUUAUCAAACUCGUAAAAAUCAAACAUUGCCUCAUCGUAUGAAAAUUGACGAUAGAAAAAAUGUGAAAUUUAACGAUGCUUAUGCUAAAGGAUGCAUACCAAAAGGACUACGUACCAUAAAACAUGCAUCUUGUUUCUCUUGUUUAUAUAGGGAAAAUAAUUAUAUAUGUAACAGUUUGGGAAAGUACAAGCGUACAAUAUUCAUAGAGAGAAGUGAAAAUGUAAACAUAGAAAUGUGCGUACAGUAUAUUUUAUAUCGAGUUUCAAAAUAUUUUACAAAUUUUUUGUAAAAAAAGAAAAAAUGUAUAAAAAAAAAAUUAUGGUAACGUGUAUCUAUUCCACGAAAUUUUUAAAGAAAUCUUUCUGCAAUCUCUAACGUAAAGAAAGUUUAAACAAGUUUACUCCCUUUUAUCCUUACUUUACCCUGUGACCUAGAAAUGGGCGUUGGAAUAUUACGUAACUCGGCACACUUGCUAGUAGCAACACUAUUUUAAUCUCAAUCGAAAUAAGAAAAGAGAACGAUUCAUUUUAUAAAAGAGAAAUGAUGCGCAAAUAAAUGUUAUUCUAAAUUAAGAGCUUGUGCGCUUAAACGAUUGGUAAAUUAAACAAAUGCUAAUACAAAAGAAACAUUCUUCGCUUGCGAAGGAGAAAAAAACCGUUCUUCAUCUGUCAACUUUGUUUAUUGAAAGAUAAACGCGGAGAGACUAUCAUGAAAUACAGCGUAUGAUAUUCUUGGGAACUGAGAGUUUCUGUAUGACUGAACGAUGACAGACUCCCACUACACUUGUUGUUAUGCAACGAAGCGUGUGGACCCGGCUGAGUGCCGGCUAGCGAAAUGAGCGAAAUAGCGUUCUCGUGGCGCAGAGCGCACGUGCAUCUGGAAGGUUCACUGUACCAGACACUUUUGUACACAACCGUACAUAACCUCCCUCCUAGUUCGUUUAAUUUUAUCUUUUUUGUCCUAUUAUUUACCAGGAAAUCACGAAAUAUCGCGUAUACGAAAGAUAUGCUUGAAAUAGUAAAAGAAAGAUAAAGAAAUCGUACUUACCACAAACGUUCAGCCAACCCUCGACGCGACAA
Long non-coding RNA from Apis cerana (Asiatic honeybee), 3267 nucleotides. RefSeq lists it as uncharacterized. Lineage: Eukaryota; Metazoa; Arthropoda; Insecta; Hymenoptera; Apidae. The record is from RefSeq and is a predicted model, not a curated record.